This 269-nucleotide ribosomal RNA is filed under the name uncultured bacterium. RNAcentral describes it as "partial 16S ribosomal RNA". It matches the Rfam family "Bacterial small subunit ribosomal RNA", at positions 565 to 832 of the family's 1533-position model. The record is from RNAcentral.
GAGCACGUAGGUGGGUUUGUAAGUCAGGUGUGAAAGCCUUCUGUUCAACGGAAGAAUUGCAUCUGAAACUGCGAGUCUUGAGUGUAGGAGGGGAGAAUGGAACUUCUGGUGGAGCGGUGAAAUGCGUAGAUAUCAGAAGGAACGCCGGCGGCGAAAGCGAUUCUCUGGCCUAUUACUGACACUCAGUGUGCGAAAGCUAGGGGAGCAAACGGGAUUAGAUACCCCGGUAGUCCUAGCCGUAAACGAUGGGCACUAAGUAGAGGGGUUUU